UACAGGGGGGGCAAGCGUUGUUCGGAAUUACUGGGCGUAAAGGGCUCGUAGGCGGCCAACUAAGUCGGAUGUGAAAUCCCCAGGCUUAACCUGGGAAACUGCAUCCGAUACUGGAUGGCUUGAAUCCGGGAGAGGGAUGCAGAAUUCCCGGUGUAGAGGUGAAAUUCGUAGAUAUCGGGAGGAACACCAGUGGCGAAGGCGGCGUCCUGGACGUCCACUGACGCUGAGACGCGAAAGCGUGGGGAGCAAACAGG
Molecule: ribosomal RNA, 254 nt
Filed under: uncultured bacterium
Lineage: Bacteria
Description: partial 16S ribosomal RNA
Rfam family: Bacterial small subunit ribosomal RNA
Source: RNAcentral